Molecule: ribosomal RNA, 253 nt
Filed under: uncultured bacterium
Lineage: Bacteria
Description: partial 16S ribosomal RNA
Rfam family: Bacterial small subunit ribosomal RNA
Source: RNAcentral
UACGUAGGGAGCAAGCGUUGUCCGGAAUCAUUGGGCGUAAAGCGCGCGUAGGUGGCCUCGUAAGUCCGCUGUGAAAGUCAAAGGCUCAACCUUUGAAAGCCGGUGGAUACUGUGAGGCUAGAGUACGGAAGAGGCGAGUGGAAUUCCUGGUGUAGCGGUGAAAUGCGCAGAUAUCGGGAGGAACACCGGUGGCGAAGGCGGUUCUCUGGGCCUUACCUGACGCUGAGGAGCGAAAGCGUGGGGAGCGAACAGG